This 149-nucleotide unclassified non-coding RNA is filed under the name soil metagenome. RNAcentral describes it as "partial internal transcribed spacer 1". The record is from RNAcentral.
CCGAGUUUACAACUCCCAAACCCCUGUGAACAUACCUACUAUGUUGCCUCGGCGGAUCAGCCCGCUCCCGGUAAAACGGGACGGCCCGCCAGAGGACCCCUAAACUCUGUUUCUAUAUGUAACUUCUGAGUAAAACCAUAAAUAAAUCA